Molecule: ribosomal RNA, 253 nt
Filed under: uncultured bacterium
Lineage: Bacteria
Description: partial 16S ribosomal RNA
Rfam family: Bacterial small subunit ribosomal RNA
Source: RNAcentral
CACGGGGGGAGCAAGCGUUGUUCGGAAUCACUGGGCGUAAAGGGCGUGUAGGCGGUCGAGUAAGUGGGAUGUGAAAUGCCUCGGCUUACCCGGGGACCGGCAUCCCAAACUGCUUGGCUUGAGUAUGGGAGAGGAUGAGGGAAUUCCUGGUGUAGCGGUGAAAUGCGUAGAUAUCAGGAGGAACACCGGUGGCGAAAGCGCUCAUCUGGCCCAAUACUGACGCUGAGGCGCGAAAGCUAGGGGAGCAAACGGG